AACGAACGCUGGCGGCAGGCCUCAAACAUGCAAGUCUAGGGGGUGCAGCAAUGCAUCACCGGCGGACGGGUGCGUAACGCGUGGGAAUAUACCUUUUGGUUCGGAACAACUGCGGGAAACUGCAGCUAAUACCGAAUGUGCCCUAACGGGGAAAGAUUUAUCGCCAAAGGAUUAGCCCGCGUAGGAUUAGCUAGUUGGUGAGGUAAUGGCUCACCAAGGCUCCGAUCCUUAGCNGUUCUGAGAGGAAGAUCAGCCACACUGGGACUGAGACACGGCCCAGACUCCUACGGGAGGCAGCAGUUGGGAAUCUUGGACAAUGGGGGAAACCCUGAUCCAGCCAUGCCGCGUGAGUGAUG
Molecule: ribosomal RNA, 356 nt
Filed under: uncultured bacterium
Lineage: Bacteria
Description: bacterial SSU rRNA
Rfam family: Bacterial small subunit ribosomal RNA
Source: RNAcentral